RNAcentral lists this ribosomal RNA (465 nucleotides) under uncultured bacterium. Its description in RNAcentral is "partial 16S ribosomal RNA". It matches the Rfam family "Bacterial small subunit ribosomal RNA", at positions 338 to 795 of the family's 1533-position model. The record is from RNAcentral.
CCUACGGGUGGCAGCAGUGGGGAAUAUUGCGCAAUGGGCGAAAGCCUGACGCAGCGACGCCGCGUGAGGGAUGAAGGUUUUCGGAUCGUAAACCUCUGUCAGCAGGGAAGAACGGUCACUGUGAUAAUCAGCAGUGAAUUGACGGUACCUGCAAAGGACACACCGGCUAACUCCGUGCCAGCAGCCGCGGUAAGACGGGGGGUGCGAGCGUUAAGCGGAAUAACUGGGCGAAAAGCACGAGUAGGCGGUAUGUCAAGUCAAGGGUGAAAUCCCGGCGCUCAACGUGGGAUCUGCCUUUGAAACUGGCAAACUGGAGUGUGUGAGAGGAUAGUGGAAUUCCAGGUGUAGGAGUGAAAUCCGUAGAUAUCUGGAGGAACAACAGUGGCGAAGGCGACUAUCUGGCACAUAACUGACGCUGAGGAGCGAAAGCGUGGGUAGCAAACAGGAUUAGAUACCCCUGUAGUC